CAACACCAUUCAUGGGAGGUAAAGUUUUAAAACUUCAGAUUUUUUUUAUUUUUUUUUGUGUUGUUGUGUGAAUGGAUGUGAUUUGAUUGAGUUUAUGUGACUGUAAACAUAAUUCUGUUGUGAUAAUAAAAAAAUUAAAACAGAAAUGAAACUUUGAAGCUUAAAAGCUUAUGUGCGGGGAAGAAGGUUGUUACGUGUACAAAAUUCAUGGACAAAACGUUAAUUUAAUUUUAGUAAAACUGAAUUACUAAAAGUGAUUUAAUAGGAUUUACAAUUUGAUUAAAACUAAUUUAAUAGAAUUUGAAAGUUAAGGUUUCCUUAAAAAAAUGAAGAGAAUAAAAGGAAGAAAGGUAAUUAAUAAAGAAGGAAAGAUAAUUAAUAAAAGGUUAGGUAAUUAAUAAAAGAAGUAAGAAUUUGUUUUGGAAAAAAAAUUAUUACUAUUUAAAAAUAAUUUAGGAAAUUGUGUUUUUAAUUUUUUUUCAUUAAAUAUCUUGUAAUAAUGUAGAUUUAGAAGUUUUAUUUUAUUUUUUCCAUUGAUUAGGUUUAAUUAAUGGUUAUGUUGUAAUAAUUAAGUACAUUCUAAAUUUAGAAAUUUCAUUUUUUUCCAUUGGUUAUGUUUUAAUAAUAAUUAAAUACAUUUAUAAGUUUUCAUUUUUCCAUUGUGUUUUAAUAAAAUAUUAGUGUUGCGGAGAGUAAACUUUUUCAUUUUUCCAUUGGUUAUUUAAAAAAAAUUAAAAGGUGAUAGGUGUACAAAAUAAAUAGGUGCUGUAGAGAGUAAAAAACAUGGGCAGCAGAUUGGGCCAAGUGUUUUCAAGAAAAUUACAAAUAGUGAUGUGGGGAGUGUAUAAAUUAAAUAGAGGUUGCAUAGAGUAAACGUGAUAGGCAGAAGAAUGGGCCUAUAUUUUUCAUUAAUAUGUUGCAAUUAGUAAUCUGGAGGGUAUAGAAAACAAAUAAGGGUUUCAUAGAGUAAAAGUCUUGGAAAGCAUAAUGGGCCCAUGUUUUUGAAGAAAAUGUUACAAUUAGUGAUGUGGGGGGUGUAUAAAUUAAGUAGGGGCUGCAUAACUUGAACAUUAUUGUAUCCUAUUCGUCUAGGAUUUACAAAUACAAAAUUCUUACACUAACACAAUAACUAAUUACAUGAAUUAGUAUGUUUUAAAUAUUUAACAUACUAAGUUUAAACAAUAAAGUUUACAUGUGACAUAUGUAGUGCAUUGGACCCUGAUAUCCACAUGAUUCAUGUAUUAAAUCGUUUGUAAGGUAUAAGUAUACUAUUAAGUAUUGAAAAUUUCAUCAUCAACAUGCAGAAAAAUGGAUCGAGAUUUUAUGUAUGAAAUGCUUGAUUCUUGAAGAAGAUUGCUUCAUCAACAUGCAGAACAAUGACGUUCAUGCUUUUGUUUCUAAGGCAAUGAAUCAAGUUUCAUACAUACCAGAUGGAGGGGUAAGGUGGUCCGUGUGUGAAAUGUUAUUGUGAGAAAAUUGUCAAACCUUCUCAUGUCAGGAGUCAUCUGCUUCAACAUGGCUUUCAACUCAACUACAAGGUAUGGAUUUCACAAAGAAGCAGGGAAAAAUGAGGUUAACUUAAACAUUGCAUUAAGUGUGAUGAUGACUUUGGGUCAUUAGCCGAAAUGGUGAACAAUGCAUACAUGCAAGAAAGUGAUAUAAGAACUCGUUAUGUCAAUGUUAUCAAGGAUGUAGAACAAGAACCUAACGCUUAAGAACAAAAAUUUUAUGAUAUGUUAAUAUCUACUCAUCAACCCAUUUAUGAUGGAGCAACUUAGUCUAAAUUGUCAAUAGUCGUAAGGUUUUUGGGCUCUAGAACCAAUUGGCACACAACUGAAAAGUGUUUAGAUUAUUUCAUUGAAAUGUUACUUGAUGUAGCUCCAACAGAGAAUUGCAUACCUAAGGCUUAUUAUGAAACAAAAAAAGUUAUCUCUACUCUUGGGUUGAAGGCUGUCAAGAUUGAUUGUUGAGGUUGGAUGCAUGUUGUAUUACAAGGACGACAUCGAAUUAAAUGAGUGCAAAUUUUGUGGCCUUCCCAGGUACUUGCCUCCAAAGGUUCAAAACAAAACAUACAAAAGAGUGUCGAUAAAAAAAUGUUUUAUUUGUCUAUCAUACCAAAAUUUCAAAGAUUGUAUACGUCAAUGAAGUGAGCUAGCCAAAUGCGAUGGCAUUUUGAAAACAUAACUAAUGAUGAUGUUUUGCGUCAUUCAUCUGAUGGGAAAGCUUGGAAAAACUUUAAUAGUGUAUAUCCCGAAUUUGCAGCUGAACCCUGUAUUGUAAGGUUGGGACUGUGAUCUAGUGGAUUCACUCCUUAUGUCCAAGUUUUAGCAUCCCCAUAUUCUUGUUGGUCGGUAUUUGUCACCUCUUAUAACCUACCCCCUGAAAUGUGUAUGACGAAGCCGUACAUGUUUCUAAGUUGUCUCAUAUCUGUUCCUAGUAACCCAACAAAAGAACUAGAUGUAUACUUGCAACCAAUUAUUGAUGACCUCCAAAAUUGUGGUCUGCUAGUGUUUUAACUUAUGACAUAUCAACAAAAGAAAAUUUCGUCAUGCGAACUUGUUUGAUGUGGACAAUUAAUGAUUUUCCAGCAUAUGCGAUGUUGUUUGAGUGGGGGACUAAAGGGAAAUUAGUUUGUCCUUAUUGUAUGGGGGACACAAAAACAUUCACACUAAAGCAUGGAGGUAAAAGUUCCCGGUUUGACUUUCAUGGACGAUUUUUGUCAUCCAAUCAUCCUUUCAAGAGGAGUCAGGGGAGAUUUCUUAAAAAUAGAGUUGAAAUGGAUGGCCCACCUUAUGUCUUAAAUGAAAAUGAAGUAUGGGAGAUUCUUCAUAAUUUCCCAAAAGUGACAGAUGGUCCAUAUUUUGGGAUCUGCCAUUUUAGAAGGACAAAACUUUUUUGAUAAUGUUUUCAACACUGUAAUGGACAUUAAGAACAAAACGAAGGACAAUCAAAAGGCGAGAAUGGAUGUUGUUGAAUUGUGUGUUCGUGGAGACUUGGAGUUGGUUUAAUUACAAAAUGGAAAGUUUACAAAGCCAAAGGCUAACUACACAUAAUUAAAGAAAGAUGCUAAGUCAAUUUACAAAUGGAUCACCAAGUUGGAGAUGCCAGAUGGUUAUGCCUCUAACAUUGCAAGGUGUGAAAACAAAGACAAGGGAAGUAUGCAUGGUAUGAAAAGUCAUGGCUUUCACGUUUUCAUGGAGUGUUUACUACCAAUAUGUUUUCGAUAAUAGCCAGAAUUUGUGUGGAGUGACCUUGCUGACUUAAGUCGAUUCUUUAAAGACAUAUGUUUUAAUACAUUGAGGAUGAAUGAUCUUGUUAGUAUCGUUGGAUGUAUGCCUUUGAAAGGUAAGCAUCAUCUUAAUUAUUUUAAUGUUUAAGAAGGUGUGCAAGUUAUAAUAAUGACUGCUUUGCUUUAGAAUGAUGAGAGAUGCAAAGAAAUUAGUGGGUAAUUUGGCACGAGUAGAAGGAUCAAUAUAUGCAUUCUACCUACAUCGAGAGAUAACAUAUUUUUGCUCUCAUUAUUUCAAACGUGUCAGCUUGUUGUCAAAUAGAAAUUUGAAAAAUGAUCCUAAAACAUUUACGAAUGAGGAAAACCCAUACACAUUGUCAGUUUUGAAUAAAUAUGGACGACCAAGUGGUUCUAACAAAGACUAUUAGUUCAUUGAUGAAGAACAUCGUUCUACCCAUGUUCAUGUCCUCAUCAAUUACGAUAAGGUCAAACGAUUUCUUUAGUAAGUUUAAUUGUACAUAAUUUGAAUUAAAUUAUUGUAGGUUGUAUAAUUCGCUAACAAAUUCAAUCAAUAUUUAAAGAUUGUUCUUAAAAGUGUACUCAAUCAUGACGAAGAUACUUGUAUAGUCAUACAUGCUAAUUUUCCUAAAUGGUUCAAGAGCUACGUAAGUGUAACCUAAACCCAUAUGUGCUUCUUAUUAAAUCGCAAUAAAUUCAAUAAAUGUAAUGCUUUCUUAUCACUAAAACACAGGUUCAUGAUGAAAGGAAUGUAAUGAACCCAAACUUGAAGGGACUUUCUUCGGGACCUAAUUCAAAGACAACAUCAUGGAACAUGUACUUCGUUAAUGGAUAUAAGUUUCAUACAAAGGCAUGGGCUGAUGGUAAGAAAACAAUAAAUAGUGAGUUGUAUGUUAAAUGUGUCACUGGUGGAAGAGAAUACGACUUUUACGAUACAAUUCAUGAUAUAUAUAAAUUGGAGUAUGUUGCUCUCAAUAAAAAGAUCCUGUUAUUCUAUUGUGAAUGGUUUGAUCUUACAUUUAAUGUUGGGACUAGAUUUCAUUCACAAUAUAAUCUAGUUGAAAUCAAGUUAAGUGGAAGAUAUGGGCUCUAUGAUCCAUUUAUUCUUCCAAAGAAGGUCAAACAAGUUUAUUAUGUCACUUAUCCAAACAGUUGUAAAAACCUUCAUGGAUGGUGCAUUCCAAUUAAAACAAAACCCCAAGGACAUCUUCAAGUUGACAACAUCAACGAUGAAUUGCCGUAUCAAGUUGAUGAGACGUCUAAUGUGUUACCAGUUACAAGAAUUGAACAUUUACAAUGUUUAGCUGACACAUCUAAUGUCAAUGUAGUUCAUGACGAUGAUGAUAUUGAAGCACAUAAUAAUGACGAUGAUGAAGAUGUUGACCUCUUAAAUGAAGAUUAUUCGAAACAUCACAUAGACAAUGACGAUUCAGAGUUUGAUAACAAUGAUGACUGAUGUCUAUUACUUUUAAUAAACUAUAAACAAACAUAUCAUCAUUACAUAAUUAUGCUAAUAUUAUGAACAAAUAAUUUUCAGGAAAAAUGGUUAGGACUAGAGGGAGGGAUGGUUCCAUUGUUAGGCGUGGCUAGCCGAGACGUGGAGUUUCUACAUCGAUGCACGGUCAGCUAGCUAUAGACCUAGGAAGCAUCCCUUAUUCUGGUAUAUUUUAUCCCAUUCCUUGACACCGUCUUCUAGCCCGUCUUCCUCUACCCACUUCUCCUCUGACCAUGGACCAUUUUGGUAUGCUUAUCCACACACCACUAUAUCACCUCAUCACACACAUAUUUCAUCAUCUUCACACCCUCCUAGUAUUCCAAAACCACUAGGGUCAUCAUUCUCUAUUCCGACUUACCAUCAGAGUGUCCCUGCACCACUCCACCAGACUUGGAGUUUUUCACUCCAGCCUAUCCCUGGUACAUUUUUGCAGCCCA
RNAcentral lists this long non-coding RNA (5179 nucleotides) under Phaseolus vulgaris (common bean). RNAcentral describes it as "long non-coding RNA (PVUL_LNC005122)". The record is from RNAcentral. Lineage: Eukaryota; Viridiplantae; Streptophyta; Magnoliopsida; Fabales; Fabaceae.